GGUGAGAGAGCAGGAAGCAAUGGAUUGCAGGAGGCUGGUAAGGUGCUAUCUGUUAUUUCAUCCAAACAGAAAUAAGGAAUGCUCUCUGUAUUCUGCAUUGAAAUUAAUGAGGAGUGGUGUUGAAUAUUUGUGUUGCUGGAAGUAUAUGUGAGAGGAGAUGUAGAAAAUGUGGCAUCGUGGUUACUGGCAAGAUGUGCAGUGCCGAGGAGGAAAAUCUGAUGAGGAAUCCCCAGCAUCGUAAAUGGAUAAUGUGGUGUUGACUGGAGUGAGAAGCAGCAGCAUUUCCCAGCAAAGAGCACGCAUGCUGAGCUUCUGUGGCUGGUAAAACACAGCAGGUGGGUAUGCAUUUAGAUGUAAGUCAUGUCCUCUAGGUAAACCAAUUACCUCGAUUGCGGAAUCACAGAAUUGCAAGGGUUGGAAGGGACCUCUGGAGAUCAUCCAGUCCAACUCCCCGCUACAGCAACUCCCUACGGUAGGUCACAAAGGUAGGCAUCCAGGUGAAUCUUGAAUAUCUCCAGAGAAGGAGACUCCACAACCUUUUUGGUCAGCCUGUUCCAGUGCUCCGUCACCCUCACUGUAAAAAAGUUCUUCUGCAUAUUUGUUUGGAACUUCCUACGUUUCAUUUUUUUGGCCAUUGCUCCUUGUCUUAUCACUGCACGCCACUGAAAGGAAUCUGGACUCAUCCAGUUGCCUCCCGCACGUUAGAUGCUUAUAAACAUUGAUCAGAUCCCUUCUCAGCCUUCUCCAGGCUGAACAAUCCCAGCUCUCAGCCUUUCCUCGUAUAGGAGAUACUCUGGGCCCCUCAUCAUCUUUGUGACCCUCCACUGGAAUCUCUCUAGAAGUUCCCUGUCUUUUUUGAACUGAGAAGUCCAGAAUGGGACACAGUAGUCCAAAUGUGGCCUCACGAGGGCAGAGUAGACCUGCUGGCCACCUUCUUUUUAGUGCACCCCAGGAUAACAUUGGCCUUCUUGGCUACAAGAACAUCCUGGCUUAUAUCUCAGCAGUGGCAGCCACCUACUUUUCUUCUCAUGCUUUGGGAUGCAGAGAUGAUUCUCUGCUAUCUUUGCUUAGCUACAAUUUUUUAGUUAAAGAUGCAUCUUAAAAGCAUGGGUUUGCAGACAUAAGUAAUACCUUCAUAACCCACCAAUGCUGAGUCAAGCAGAGAGAUUUGAUGUAGUAUUGCUGAAAGCAGAUUUAGGGUGGGAUGUCACAUUACGGUCAACGGUAGAUUUGGGAACCUUAUUGCUGGAAGGUGCAGUGCUACUGGAGGCUGCUCCUGUAUAGAUGGUGUAUGUCAGGAUUUAAAAAACUUGUGAAAACUGGAAAUUACCCUGCUUUUCAGAUGGGCAUAUCUCAGGUUUUUCAUCAACAACUUACUCUGUAUGGACUCAGUGACAUGAUUUCAGUGUUUCAUAUGGUUUUCAGAACAGCACCAAUUUUGUGCUCUAAAAUUCCUUAUGAUUUGCGACGGGGAAUACGCUUGGAGCUGGGGUCUGGCUGGGUGGCUUCAUUGUUUUGGGAAGACAGGAAAGUUGCUAACUGUAAACACACGAUCCAGCAUAGGACCUUCUCUUCUGACCUGCUGUGACCUGUCCAUCUAUUGGUCACGGUGUCUGUUUGGCCACUGAUGGCAUCUCAGAAAACUUUUUGGUAGGUAACGUUUCCUUUAAAGACUUCUGAGCUCAUGAGAAUGAGAUAGUGCAUUCCCGUGUGGUUAAGUUAUGCUCUUGCAAGUCCUAGCAAGAAGUGUUAGAAAAACAGCCUUUGGUUGCUAGGAGGUGCCGUGUGGGGUUUAAUUAAUCAGGAUGGCUGUGCUCUCUGUUUGCUAUCACUGCCGAUAUAACAUAGACAUUUCCAAAACCAAAAGUUGUGAUGGACUCCUUUUGGGCCAAGAGCUUUUCUUAUAGAAACACACACUACUAAUGCAGUUGAGACAAACGUUAGUCAUUUCACACUGCACCGAGAGACACCCGAAAACUGGGGCCCACGAGAGGUACUUGGGCUCGAUGGGCUCUGCACAAACUGCUGCUCUCCCACAUUGUUAGAGCAACAGCGACAUGGAAACACCUACGACUCUGCCAGUAUCAAAGGUUUUCCUCUUCUAAUAAAUGGGGAAUAUUUAACUCAAAGUUUUUUGAUCAGAUUUUGAGGCAGCUCGACUAAGCUGUCUUAAGACACAAAUGGGAGUCUUGGCUUGCCUCUUACAAGGGUAGAAAAUGCUGCCACAGAGUGCAGCCUCCUUGCUGUUUCCAGUUGAGUUGCCCAUGUGAUAUGUUUCCAUCAGUACAGUGUAAUUUCAGAUAAAGAGGGUUUGGUAGAUUGGACGGAAGUAAUUCAGAAGGCAAAACAGAAAGACCAGGAGGAGAGUGAUAAACCCUAAUGGUGUUUGGAGCGUGCUCUUCAACUUGAUGAUGAUGAGAGCCCAGGAGUGUAGCAGGCAGUCACAUUUAGACUUGGAAACACAAGGACUAAAGGCACAUCACUUACAAAUGCUCUUGCAGGCCAAAUUUGCUGGACAAGCAAACUUGCCGCUAGUUGGCUCCUAGCAUCUGUUCCCUUGGAAGUACUAUCCAAACAAAAAUAUUUGGUCUUCCCUCAACUGAAGCCAGGUAUUCCCUCAGCAAUGUGGGGAUUGUGUAGAUGGAAGGCAGGCACCAAAUUUCCCGAAGCCCUUCACUUAGAGAUACUAUGCAAAUGCCUUUAAAAUAACUGGCCUUGGGGUUCCUGUAUUCAAUGCACCCUGGGACAGAUCUUCAAGCACCACGAGGACUAACCUUAGUGAGCAAGCCAUGACUCACACUGUGUGCAACUGCAAGCUAUUUCUUUUAUCCUUCCCUUUCUUUUAGCCUUAAAAAGAGACACCUCCUCAGAUUGCAGGGACAAACUUUUGCAAAACAACCAGGUCCUUAUGCUGCUAAUCCAUAAGGACAUCUUUCCCCUUAAAAACCCUGCAGCUUCCUCUUCUUAAGAUCAUCCUAGAACCACCGACUUAUAGAAUUGCAGGUGAUAGGGAACAACCUCUUGCCAAAACUGAGACAUGAUGAUAUUCAUGUACAGUCUAAUACAAAAGCAUCUAGUGGUUACUAAUAGUUAGAAGCCUUGUCUGGGAGGAGUACGCCUGAGCUUCAGCCCCAUGCUCUGCACUGUCUCCCUGGGGAUAGCAGGAGCAGCCUUGGCUACAUACAAACCUGAGUCCCUUCCAGUUAGAGAGAGAAAUAAAUGCUGCUUUCCACUUCCUGCGUGAGUGCUCUGUCCACAAGGCUGCUAUGAAAAACUUGUUGGAAUUCAUCUUCUGGCUAUUUUUGGAUAGAAAUAACUACUGUUUGUUUUGCUUGUUUGCUUGUUUGAAUGUCUUUCGCUACGUGCGUCUUGCUGAAUACUUGACAUAUGUGCUGGGAAUCCCAAAGGGACCAGGCUGUCACGGCAGUGAAGGCAUCCAUCAAUGUGAGCAGUAUGUGAAUCUCAGAAGAGUUAUGAUAACCACGGACACAGCCAUGGCACUCAGGAGCACAGAUAGUGUACACUUUGAAGCAACCGAGAGCACUGCCUGGCAAAAUCCUACACCCUAUAUGCUCUCAGGUGUAGGUUUGGACUAGGUGGGGUUUGGUAGCCUGUUCUAUCAUAGUCCACCAAAUUUCCCCUGUGUUGCACUUGAAGAACUCAUACAUUUGCUUUUGGAACAAGCCUAAUGUAUUUUUUAUCACCUGCAUCCCCUACGUAAGUGCCAGAUAUAGAGCUGAUAUAGGCACUGCCUUUUCUGUAGUUCCAGCAAUAUAUAGGCACUAAAGCAAACCAUUCCUUGCACAAGUUCUGGAUGUCACUGCCUAUUAUUAAAUAUUAAAUUACUAUUACAUUACUAUAUACAAUAUUAUUAUAGUCACUGCCCUCUCCUGUAGGCUGCCUACUUUUCCCCUACAUUUCCUCGCGUGGCCCAAGUCCAGGUUUUGCAGCAUACUUGCUCCAGUGCUACCUUCCUUACCCUGCAGCACUGAGGCAGCCAAGCAUUGGUGGUAUUAUGGGCUGUUGUGCAACCUGCAGUGACAACCAUCUGCUGUUUAGGAAGAACGGGAUUACCAGAACACUGUGAGACAGCAGCGGUGGACUUGCUGUGCAGGCACUGCCUCUGCAGUGGGGCAGGAGGGGAACCACCCUGCACUGGCAGCAAAGAAACUGCUGCAGGAGCAUCACUCUGCCUCGCUGGGGCUGGCACCUCUCCUGCAGCCAGGUGCAAACAUCUGUGCUCUGUGUCUCUGCGGCGAGCGAUUGCGGCCCUGAUCCCGUUGGAUGUACAAGCUGCUGAAAUCAGUGGGGGCAAGGCAUCUCAAUAUUGUUCUUAGUGGAGAACCCACACCAUUUGCUGCAAUCCAAAUGCAUGUCAGGAUCCCUCUAAGUAUUUCAUGGCCUCAGAGACAAAGUAUGAUGUGGCUGCAAAACCCAGCACAAAUAUGCAACCACAAGAAUAGCCCCACUGCAGUAGCAAUGGAGAAAUCCCGCUCCUAGCUUGUCAGUACUCACAGCUAAAAUGCAGAAAGACAAACUGUAGUUAGUGUUCUAGAAAUGAGCUUUGUGUUUUCAACUUCUAUCAAAUAAAACAAAUUAUAUGUCCUCAGAUUUUCCUCAUUGGAAUUAAUCAAGCGCACUUGACUUGCUACAGAUGAAUUUGAUUAGGAUCACGUAUACUCUUAGGAACCAAAAAUAACCCAUCAUGAUUGAGGUGUACAUGUUGUUGCAGCCGGCAGUAUUGUGUGGUAUCUGCUGCAGCAAUGGACAGAGAGCUCCUGGAAUAGGAAUCCAAACCAGAUUUGGCAGGAGAAAUGGUAGAUGACACACAAAAUGAAGCAAAUAAGACCACCCAAGAUGGAGAUCUUAUCAAAUGCAUGGUUAUUUGUAUGGCCAUAUGGUUGAUUGAAAUUCCGUUUUCUGAUAUAAAACAAAUCACUGAAUCAUAGACUCAUUGAGACUGGAAAGACCACUGAUAUUAUCUAGCCUAAACAUCAACCCAUCCCCACCAUGCCCACUAACCAUGUCCCUCUGUGCCACUUCUACACGGUUCUUGAGCACCUCCAGGGUCAGUGACUCCCACAGCUCCCUGGGCAGCCUGUGCCAAUGCAUCACCACUCUUUUUGAGAAGAAAUUUUUCCUAAUUUCCAACCUGGGCUGUAAUGGAAAACUUAACUCUAUAUCCAUUUGUACACAAAUAUUUUUGCAUGCAUGACCUGCACAUGGCCCGCAAUGUGUACAUCGGAUAUUACCCACACUUUUUGUGAUGUCAGCAGAUUCUUCUUUUCAUGGUCUUUUAGCACUGAAGAAAAAACGGACGUCUUCCCAACAAAGCACUCCUGACUGUCAGCUGAGCUUCUCUGUGUGCGCACUAUUGUAGCUCUGCACAAGUCACAUGUUGCACACUCACCACUGCCCAUGUAAGCCCAUGUGCACAAUCAUCAGCUGAGACGCUGGCAGGGGUGCAACACUUCACAUUUGUCAAUGAAAAUAACAACAGAGAAAAGGAGGGAAGAGUGUUUUGUUUUUGUUGUGACAGCUUAUUGAUAUUUUAAAUAAAUUGUUCUGACAUUCUGUCAUCAUUUCUUUCUUUUAAGCUUAGUUUUCCUGUGCAGUAAUCCUUAUUCAUACUUGUCUCAGCAGCUGGGUCCCUGAGGACUGUGUGAGUAGGGGUGCAAGGGUUAUCUAUGGUCGUGCCAAACUCCCAGGUUUCUGACAGAUCUGCAAUCUGCUGAAUUGUUUACAUAAGUACCAGGAAGUGCCUGUGAGAGAAGAAGUGGAGGUAUGCAAGGGGAAUAACAUAAAGAAAUAUCUGCACCUGAGAUCAUUUUUCACUUUUCGGAUAGUCUUGGAGAACAACGCAUACAUUUGGCAUAGCGUCAUGCACACAGCACUGCGGGUCUCAUCCUACAGGUAGUUCUCAUCUGGAUUGCAGUAGUAGGUUAGAGAGAAAAAACAUGUCUCAAGCUUUUAUUGUGUUGCUAACAUUCCUGUUGCAUGCACUAACUGCAGAACCACCUCGACGCUGCAUUGGGUAUGGGCAAACAACCACUGGGCCGUACACAGGAAGAUGUGCAGUACUUGAGACCCAGGUGGCACAGCCAUGGGGCACUGCUGGGCUGAGACAGCUGUCUUCUCCAUGAGCUGUUGUCUUUUUUUUCCCUCCUCUCCUCAAUCCCCAGGCUGGAUCCUGGGGCUUUCUGAGCUGCCAGAUCUGCCUCGGGGCUGCUUGGUGGCACACACGGGGCUGUUAGGGGAGCACAUGAAGAAGGGAAAGUUUGAAAAGCAGAAACAUAUUUCAUGCAAUCUUUUUUUUUUUGUUUUAAUGCACUUCUCAUGCGUGAGAUGUGCCAAAACGUUUCCACUGGAAACUUUAUAAAAAAUGAUUAAUGUAAAGGGGUUCUACAAUUCUGGCUUCUCUCUCCCCUCUCCAGAGAGCUGUCAUAGCUCAUGAAGCUCUGUUCUGUGUACUGGAUGCAUCAACAGCUGGAAAUUAUCACUUUCUGGUCUUUGUCUUUCUGUAGCUCAUUUGAGAGACUCCACCAGUAAUAAGGGAUCCUGCCCUUUUAACUGCAGCAUGGGAUGAAGUUCUUCUGGUGAGACCAGGGAUCACUCCAGCACUGAUUUUAUAACAAGCAGAAAAAAUAAGCAUUCUGUAUGAGAUUCAGGCCAGCUGUGUGCAUUCCUCGCAUUCCUUCAAAGGGCAACCAGAGGGACAGGCAUGUUUUAGCCCUGGGCUCUUUUCCCUAAUGCUCAGCUACUGCGUGAUACCCUUCUUAAGGCUUCCUCCUUGCUUUUUCUCUCUCGUUUGCCUUUCUGAAGGCUUUGGGCAGGAGUUUUCAGUCUGCCUGCUGCCAUUCCCAAGAUGUAUCCUCCAUUUAAUGGCACUGCGGGACACAGGGUGGAGGGCAGCUUUCUCCAAAGAAGGGGAGAAUGGACAUCCACACAUUCAUACGAUCCGAUUGUUGGGUGGUCUUGUAUGAAGCCAGGACUUGGACUCAAUGAUUCUUGUGAAUCCCUUCCAAUUUGGGGUAUUCUACGAGUCUGUGUUCCUGCAAUUUGGGAACGCAGCAUCCCCCAGGCCUCCUGGCAGCGUGUGCUCUGGGGCAUUUAUUUUGGUUACUCUUUGCUCCAGUGUCGUCUGUGCAAGCUGUACAGGAAGCAGGGCUUUCCUGGCAGCUAUUUGCCUUCUCAGAAUGGGGAGAUGGGUGUAUGUGCUCUGCUUGCCUGGCUCACAUGAGCUAUUUCUAUGAAAAGGCUGACAUGCAUCCGUACACAGUAACCAGAGAGACAGAGAGACUGCAGGGAUGGUGUUGGCCCCAAGCUGCCAGCCUUCUCUCUGUGUUGCAGCAGUUCUUGGAAUAAAGUGUGGGAAAGAUUGGAUAUUUGGGAAAAUUUCUUCUCAGAAAGAGCUGUGAGGUGUUGGAACACUCUUCCCUGAGGAGUGGUGGAGUCACCAUCCUUGGAGAUGUUCAAGAGAUGCGUAGAUGUGGCACUGAGGGACAUGGGUUAGUGGGCACGGUGGGAGUGGGCUGACGUUUGGACUGGAUGAUCUUAAGGGUCUUUUCCAGCCUUAACAAUUCUAUGAUUAUGUGAAAGAGAAGAAAACUGUCAGCUGCAGGCAGUGGCAGUCAGGAAGGUGACCUGAACAGCCCAUUUCUCCCUGAGCACUGUGCCAGCAUCCCUCCCGAUGGCUGGGAAGUGGCUGUGAAACUCAUACUGGAGUCCCCAGACCUACACCACCAUGGCCACCAGCCACUGGCCAAGUACUUCUUGCUCCAUCCUCAUCCCUGUUGCUGCCCAGGCUGCCGGUUUUAGGGGCAAAUGAAUCUGCCACAAGAAUCUCCUGUGCAGGGGUGGCAUGUGCUAUUAAUAAAGACUGCCUUCAACUUCUAAACUGAGGCUCUUAAAAGCCACAGUGAAUGCAUUUUUCAUUAACGAAAAAGCCCACAAUCUUUGCUGUUGAAACUGAAAUAGAUCCAUGAACUUUUGUAUCGUGCAGGCUAUUUUAGAACUGUAAAUCUAUUCCACUUUUUCCAUUGUGGUUAUUGUCAUAUUUCAUUAUGUUCUCACGCAGACAACGCUUUCUGGUCUUUUAUUAUAAAGGAUUCUGCAUUUCCAGGCAUAGGUUCUCAUGCUCAACUCAACAGGCUUGGUAAAAAAAAACAACAGUCUUCAACCAAUUUUUUUAUGGUGUAAGGUUUCAUAUGAAGGCAUCAAGGCAGCAAGAAAUUGAUGCUAACUUCUGGAUAUUGAGCUUAGGGUGUUCGAAGCAGUUUUGAAAGGGUAAAAAUGAAAGAACUGAAAGAUGGGCAAGUAUUUUCUGUGACCUUUUUUUAAAGAAUAUCGAGCCUAUCAGACUGUAUUGUGGCACUGGUCAUGAGCAUGGCCUCAGACUGGAUGGUAAAUGUAUAGGCAGCACAAAGCCAUACAAAAAGCUGUGGGGCUAUUUAGAGUUUGGCUGGAAAAUGAGCUCAACCACGCUCCAAAGAAGAUCCCAUUCUUUUCUGCAGCAAUGGUGGAGAAUUGAACUGCAGUUUCCAAUCCUCCAUACUCUUUCCUCUGCUGCCCCUCUGUGCCUAGAAGUCCCCAAAGGACCCCGGAGUUAUUUCCUGCCCUGUUAAAUUCCACGUGAAAGUCUUUUUUGCUCAUUCUGUGAAUGUUUUGAAGUAUUGUGAUGCUGACUCCCUUUGGCCAUUGCCCUUCCUAUUGACCUGCACUCUCUUUGUUUCCUCCCACUUUCCAUGUCUCAGACUUAACGGCGAGGCUGACAGCUGGUGGGGGAAAGGCAGUAUUUUUGAUAUACAUUUGUAUAAUGCUUGGCAGGCUGGAUCCUGGUGACUGUGUAUGUCAAAUCAUAACAGAGUUGCUCCCAGUUCUUUCAAUCCUCAGCUUUGUAAGCGUUUUAGAACUUCUCUUUUAAAUAAUUAAAAGCAAAUCGUUAUUUUAAUUGUAUUUUUUCACAUCAUUUGUGUUUUCCUCUGGCAGUCCCAUCCAAUACUCCUCACAAAAACUUUGUGGUGCACCUAUCAUUUUACUGGUCUAAAGCCCGAGACAUGAGGAUACUGGAGAUCUGCUCCAGUAGUCCAAACAGAUCCCACACAUCUCGACCUCCAAGCACUGGUGCUGCAGAGGGAGCACCUUGCUGGCUGCAGGGCAGGGUGCAGAGCCGGCACGCACCUUCUAGCACCUGGUGUAUGCCCUCAGAGUCAGCUGUAAUUUAACCUCCAGUGCUGUCCCGUGGAGUAUUUACCUAUCUCAUAAGUCUUAAGGGCUGCCCGUGUCUUAGUGUAGGAGAUGACACAAACUUGACGGGCAUCAGGCCGCUCUCAUCAGUAGGCAUCCCUAUGUAGGGACUCCCACUGUUCUCAGGUCUGUCACUGAGCUGGGGCUCUGCUAUUUCAGUCCAGUUUAUCUCUUUCUGUUUCCUAAGUGGUCUCUCAGGAUCUACUUCUGUACUAAGCUGGUCUCUAAUCCUUGUGCCUAGCUAUACAUAGCCACAACUUAUUUAUACAUUGGGCUAUCCCCAGUUAAACUAAAAAAUACUAUAACCUACUUCAGGAAUUGGGUAACACUAAGUAUUAACAGUGCCUAUUUAUGUUGUUAAGAUGCCUCAGCCACGCUAUGUUAAUUGAAAGCUCUGGCUAAGCUUUUUAAUGCUUGUUGUCAUUUACAGCCACGUGGGAUGCAGCACGAUGGCCCCCAGAUUUCUAGCUGAGUGGUGGUGGCUCAGAGCUGGCAUCCCACCUCCCUGCAGAAUCAUAGAAUCAUAGAAUGGCCUGGGUUGAAAAGGACCACAAUGAUCAUUGAGUUUCAACCCCCCUGCUGUGUGCAGGGUCACCAACCACCAGACCAGGCUGCCCAGAGCCACAUCCAGCCUGGCCUUGAAUGGCUGCAGGGAUGGGGCACCCAUAACCUUCUUAGGUAACCUGUUCCAGUGCGUCACCACCCUCUGUGGAGUGAAAAACUUCCUCCUAAUAUCUGCAGGACAGUUUCUGUGCCGCUGUGAGUGUUUCACUGCAGUUUGGAGCUUGGCAGCAAUUUCAGUGUGCUGCAGCUGGCAAGCAGGCAGGAGGAUGCCAUUCCCCUGGGGGUUAAUAACUCUGUUUUCCCCCAAGUGCAGUAAGCAAGAGUUGUGCAUGCAAGCAGGUGGGUUGCGGGAACUCGCCACUCUGCUUGCAGGGAAGCGCACGCUCCCCAAGUGCAUCAUGGAAAGACAAUAACUAACGCAGUGACGCAGGCUGCACAGCGUGCCCCUGCACCAGCUAUAAACAAAAAGGUUACAGCCAGGUGAUUUGUGCGGCCCUAAUGGAAUCAGCAAUUAAUACUAGAGAGAGUGUGUUGGUUUUGACUCUUCAAGGCACUAUAUCUCACCUUCUCACGUCUGAACGUGAGGUUAUUCUGUCUUUGACACAGAAGCCAGAGAGAGAGCUGCCGAAGCUGCGGGCUUUGGCCAGGGCUGUGGUUGCCACUGUUACUGUUUUGUUUUUUUUUUCUUUAAAUUUAUUAUUAUUUAUUUAUUUUUAUGUAUUUUAGAGAUAAAUCUGUGUGCUUGCUACUCCCGUUGCUGCUAGUCAUAGCUGGGACUGUACAACUGAGCUUCACUACUGGUGCAGGGGGAGCAGCAAACAAUGUGCUGCAGCGACUGCUAUGGGAAAACCACAGGGAUAGUCUGGAGGUGAAAUCAGAGCUGUGAGGCCAAUAGCAGAGUGCCACCAAGUACACACAGGAUGUAGAGCAAACCCAUGGUGCUGCUCACUUCCCACACGUUGUGAUUUAAGAAUUUGCUAUUUCAUGACUUCUUACUGAAAUUUUCUAAAAUUCAGGAACAUUUCCCCUUACUGUUUUAAAAGUCUUCCCUGGUGUUCAGUACAAAUGGAAAGUAAAAUAAUCUGAAAUCCAGCUGCAAGCCAGGUGUGUCCUCCAAAGGAAGUUGCAUUUCGUAUCUGGUGUCUCCAGAACCUGUCCACUUCCAGGGUGGGGAAGAGGUAGCCUUGUCUUGUCUCAUCUCCUCUCUCAUCAUGGAUAAAAUGUUCUUAAUGCAAACUGCCCUCAGCUCCAUAUUGUGGCUUUCUCCUUGCUGCAUAGAUUUUGGGCCUACGGUUCAUCAGAACUGAAGGCUUCCUUUUCUGUUGGGUUUGAACAAGGACUGCUCAUAGGUUUGUGUAUUUGCUCCUUGGUUCCCACCUUGGGUGGAGUGACCAGCACCACUCCGGGUAGUGCAUUUUGCACUCAGCCAGUGCUGGGCAGGGGAGAAAACUCAGUUUUUCCAAAAAGCUGGAGAUGGGCUUCCUCUGCAUGCAGGCCAGGUAAAAACCCAUGGCAACCACCGUAAUGCCAGCAACAAAAUGACUGGGAGUGACGCUCUGCAAAUGGUACAGCAUCUACCGGUAAGGGACUGAUUGAAUCUACAAGAUCUCUAGAAGGCUGUUCUGAGGGCAAAGUAUCUCUGUCUCUUGCCCUCUCUAUCUAUCUUUUAAACUUUUCCUCUACUUUUAUUUUGUUCAGCCACAAGGUUAACACACAGAAUAUACCCAGCAUAUCAGUGGUGUUAACUAUGUCUUGAAUCAGAAAAUGAUUAGAAGGUGUGGUUGGAACUCUCCUGCAGUGUGAGGGCAGACAGCAAGGGACCCCAUCCCCACGUGGGCAGGGGGCUGAGGCAGUGGAUAUGGUCUGUACCGUGUGUGAGAUGUGAGAGGCAACCAGAAACCUGUGUUGUACAGGUUUUUAUGGACCUGAAAUGUGCAGUGUAUGAAGCACAAGAUAUUCAUUCCCCACAGAGCUUGUGGACAUCCAGCACUGUUUUCCCUCAAGGUUCUUCGGUUUUUAACCUCAAUUAUGUUUGAUUUUAAUUUAAAGAUGACUUCUGAUACGUGCCAGUGUGUGAGGAGAAGGAAGCAUUUCCUGAGAGCAGAUAUGUGAAGAUAUUCAGGCUCCCUUUAGGUACUAGAAGGCUGCAAUGAGGACACCCCACAGCCUUCUCU
This is a long non-coding RNA of Gallus gallus (chicken), 11984 nucleotides long. RefSeq lists it as uncharacterized. The record is from RefSeq and is a predicted model, not a curated record. The transcript has 4 exons. NCBI's taxonomy places the organism in Eukaryota, Metazoa, Chordata, Aves, Galliformes, Phasianidae.